AUAUCUAGAUAAGAGCUUCACUCUUAAUCUUAAUUAUCCGCUUCUGUCUCUCGUAAUUUUUUGAUAAAACGUUCCUUUUUAUCGAAUUGAUCUUUUGAUUCUUGUAAAGAGCCUGAGCUCUCAGCGAGAACACUUUCUGGCCAGGAGCCUCGGCCUGGUUGGAACUCUCUCUCAUUUCUGGACUCUGGACUUACCAUUUUUGGAACAUGGAACCCCGGACAACUUUGGGCCUGAGCUCUCAGCGAGAACACUUUCUGGCCAGGAGCCUCGGCCUGGUUGGAACUCUCUCUCAUUUCUGGACUCUGGACUUACCAUUUUUGGAACAUGGAACCCCGGACAACUUUGGUGACUCGUCAAAAGACUUUUCUUUCUCUCUCUGAAAUCUUUUUCAUUUUUAGACCAUUUUAACAUUUUAAUUUCGCUAAUAUUUUCAAUGUUUUAUCUUUUUCAAAA
Bemisia tabaci is the source of this 453-nucleotide non-coding RNA. The record is from RefSeq and is a predicted model, not a curated record. NCBI's taxonomy places the organism in Eukaryota, Metazoa, Arthropoda, Insecta, Hemiptera, Aleyrodidae.